RNAcentral lists this ribosomal RNA (377 nucleotides) under uncultured bacterium. RNAcentral describes it as "bacterial SSU rRNA". It matches the Rfam family "Bacterial small subunit ribosomal RNA", at positions 523 to 898 of the family's 1533-position model. The record is from RNAcentral.
AUACGUAGGUGGCGAGCGUUGUCCGGAAUUACUGGGCGUAAAGGGUGCGUAGGCGGUAAAGGAAGUCCGAUGUGAAAUUCCGGGGCUUAACCUCGGAACUGCAUUAGAAACUCCUUUACUAGAGUGCAGGAGAGGGAAGCGGAAUUCCUAGUGUAGCGGUGAAAUGCGUAGAUAUUAGGAAGAACACCAGUGGCGAAGGCGGCUUUCUGGACUGUAACUGACGCUGAUGCACGAAAGCGUGGGGAGCGAACAGGAUUAGAUACCCUGGUAGUCCACGCUGUAAACGAUGAGUGCUAGGUGUAGGAGGUAUCGACUCCUUCUGUGCCGCAGUAAACGCAAUAAGCACUCCGCCUGGGGAGUACGGUCGCAAGACUAAA